GAAAUAAACCUGAUGGGUUGCUGCUGGCUCUCUCGGGAGCAUGUGCACACUUGUCAUCUUUAUAUCUCCACCUGUGCACCUUUUGUAGAUCUGGAUAUCUUUCUGAAUGCCUGCAUUCAGGUUUGAGGAUUGACUUGUCUUUCCUUACAUUUCCAGGCCUAUGUUUCUUCAUAUACACCAUGUAUGUUAUAGAAUGUAAUGAAAAGGGCCUUUGUGCCUACAAACUUAUACAACUUUCAGCAACGGAUCUCUUGGCUCU
This 259-nucleotide unclassified non-coding RNA is filed under the name rhizosphere metagenome. RNAcentral's name for it is "partial ribosomal RNA internal transcribed spacer region". The record is from RNAcentral.